GAUGAGGACUUUGGGUCUGGCUUCUGGUCAGUACUAAAAGGACCAAAUCUUUUUUCUGGAAGAGUCAAAGUGUACUUGACUGUACGCUUUGAGGAACCAGGACGAUUACCUUGAGAAAAAUAGAGUGUUCAAAGCAGGCUUAUGCUUGAAUACAUUAGCAUGGAAUAAUAAAAUAGGACUUUGGUUCUAUUUUGUUGGUUUAAGGACCAAUGUC
This 214-nucleotide ribosomal RNA is filed under the name uncultured fungus. Its description in RNAcentral is "partial small subunit ribosomal RNA". It matches the Rfam family "Eukaryotic small subunit ribosomal RNA", at positions 636 to 863 of the family's 1831-position model. The record is from RNAcentral. Lineage: Eukaryota; Fungi.